GAUGAACGCUGGCGGCGUGCCUAAUACAUGCAAGUCGAGCGAACAGAUAAGGAGCUUGCUCCUUUGACGUUAGCGGCGGACGGGUGAGUAACACGUGGAUAACCUACCUAUAAGACUGGGAUAACUUCGGGAAACCGGAGCUAAUACCGGAUAACAUAUUGAACCGCAUGGUUCAAUAGUGAAAGGCGGCUUUGCUGUCACUUAUAGAUGGAUCCGCGCCGUAUUAGCUAGUUGGUAAGGUAACGGCUUACCAAGGCAACGAUACGUAGCCGACCUGAGAGGGUGAUCGGCCACACUGGAACUGAGACACGGUCCAGACUCCUACGGGAGGCAGCAGUAGGGAAUCUUCCGCAAUGGGCGAAAGCCUGACGGAGCAACGCCGCGUGAGUGGUGAAGGUCUUCGGAUCGUAAAACUCUGUUAUCAGGGAAGAACAAAUGUGUAAGUAACUGUGCACAUCUUGACGGUACCUGAUCAGAAAGCCACGGCUAACUACGUG
This 497-nucleotide ribosomal RNA is filed under the name uncultured bacterium. RNAcentral describes it as "partial 16S ribosomal RNA". It matches the Rfam family "Bacterial small subunit ribosomal RNA", at positions 28 to 507 of the family's 1533-position model. The record is from RNAcentral.